GUGUUACUCCGGUAGCACAUAUACUAAAAUUGAAACGAUACAGAGAAGAUUAGCGCAAGGAUGACACGCAAAUUCGUGAAGCGUUCCUCAUUUCA
Molecule: small nuclear RNA, 95 nt
Filed under: Dicentrarchus labrax (European seabass)
Lineage: Eukaryota; Metazoa; Chordata; Actinopteri; Moronidae
Source: RNAcentral